Long non-coding RNA from Uranotaenia lowii, 2096 nucleotides. RefSeq lists it as uncharacterized. The transcript has 4 exons. NCBI's taxonomy places the organism in Eukaryota, Metazoa, Arthropoda, Insecta, Diptera, Culicidae. The record is from RefSeq and is a predicted model, not a curated record.
UGCAAUGCUUUUGGCAGCGGAUGUCAUAGCAAAAAAGCUCAUCCGAAAAAUGGUUUUAUGAGUAUCUCAAAUACUUAAAUCGUUAAUAAACGUCUUUAAAUUAAGCAGAAGGACAUUAUUCGUUUGUUGCUUCGGGAUCCCAUUUGAAAGGGAACUGGAAAUGUACAGAAAUCGCGUUGCGAGGAACACAGGGAGAUAUUCUAAGUGGUGGAGGACGGACAGCAACCGAAACUCAACGGAUCGGAAUACAAAGAAGAAAAACUAGACGUUAACCUACAUGAAGGUUCACUAAUAAUUGCUAAAAGAAAUUAACGUUCCAAAAAUGGUUCAAAGAAAACAGGAAUAAAAUGAGCCUGAUAGAUCGGAAAAGAUAAAAGCCGGAAGAAUUCUCGUGCAUUGCAAUGAAGCAGGAUGCUAACUACUUGGAUGAGAACCCUCUGUGGAAAGUCUACUUUCGGUGUUCUUCGAAGCGCACCCAAAGGAUAAGGGCAUCGUAUAGUGCGUGGGCUAUCAGAAAUAUAUGCAGAAAUAUAUUCGAUGCUGCGAGACGCCGCACACAGGGGUAAAUGAACCUAAUAAGCGAUCAAAAUUAUUUGCGCACAAACGGUAAACGAUAGACAUUUGAUGUCUUCGCAACAUUUUUAUAUUUUUUGAUGAUCUAUCAAAUUCUUGAAAGAAAAAAGUGAUUUUUUCACCUGGAAGGGAGAUAAAAAAAUUAUUUCUUGAAAUAAUUAGCUUAGCGUCUUGAUGUCUUCACAAAAGUUGUAGAUCUUAUUAUUUUAAGCAACUUUGUUGAAGACAUCAUAAAGAUCGCAUGAAAUUCAAAAAAGUUACGAGCAUUUAAAAAAUAACGAGAAUUUUAACAAGUAAUUUUGAGUUUUUAUUUAAUAUCUUUUUAAGUAUACGAUUUACAAACUUGGUAUAUUUGAGAAAGUUGUUCAAAUUGUUAAAACACACAAUUUUGUAGAACAUUUUAAAUACAUAUUUCAACUAAGAAAGGAGAUAUACUGCAAAAUAUCCAAAAUAAUGCAUUUUUUCUGUAAGUUAUAACCUUAAGAGUUCGGACGAGUUCGGAUAAUUUUUUGAGUGGAUUUUGUUGAUCAAGUUAUUGGCUUUCCAUUGAUAUAUAAAUAAAACAUUAGUUUUGAAUAGAUUUUCUGCAAACUAGCAAUCAAUAAUGAGCUUUUUCCUUUAGAAACACUUAAAAUUCGAAGAAAAAAAACCUCAAUUUUUCCUGUUUUAAGAGGAAAAAGCUCAUUUUUGAUUGCUUGUUUGAACAAAAUCUAUUCAAAACUAAUGUUUAAUGUAUAUAUCAAUGGAAAGCCAAUAACUUGACCAACAAAACCCACUUAAAAAAAUAUCCGAACUCGUCCGAACUCUUAAGGUUAUAACUUACUGAAAAAAUGCAUUAUUUUGGAUAUUUUGCAGUAUAUCUCCUUUCUUAGUUGAAAUAUGUAUUUGAAAUGUUCUACAAAACUGUGUGUUUUAACAAUUUGAACAACUUUCUCAAAUAUACCAGGUUUGAAAAUCGUGUACUUAAAAAGAUAUUAAAUAAACACUCAAAAUUACUUGUUAAAAUUUUCGUUAUUUUUUAAAUGCUCGUAACUUUUUUGAAUUUCAUGCGAUCUUUAUGAUGUCUUCAACAAAGUUGCUUAAAAUAAUAAGAUCUACAACUUUUGUGAAGACAUCAAGACACUAAACUAAUUAUUUCAAGAAAUAAUUUUUUUAUCUCCCUUCCAGAUGAAAAAAUCACUUUUUUCUUUCAAGAAUUUGAUAGAUUAUCAAAAAAUAUAAAAAUGUUGCGAAGACAUCAAAUGUCUAUCGUUUACCGUUUGUCCGCAAAUAAUUUUGAUCGCUUAUUAGGUUCAUUUACCCCUGUGUGCGCCGGCGGCCAACUUUUAAUUGUGGCACCUUAACUGCGGAACAUGCCCGGAAUUUGCUGCCGUAAUCGCCCAGUACACCAUCUGUAAUCUACAAAAUACAGAUCCAGUGCCAUCUAAAGCAAAAGCAUUGCUCGAGCGGAAGUCACUUUUCGAGAUAACCAGAAUGUCACUGGAAUGGUUUGGCUGCAAAAUACUAUUCGAUACACCGAUACU